RNAcentral lists this ribosomal RNA (627 nucleotides) under Trimorphomyces papilionaceus. RNAcentral describes it as "eukaryotic LSU rRNA". It matches the Rfam family "Eukaryotic large subunit ribosomal RNA", at positions 47 to 662 of the family's 3401-position model. The record is from RNAcentral. Lineage: Eukaryota; Fungi; Basidiomycota; Tremellomycetes; Tremellales; Trimorphomycetaceae.
UAAGCGGAGGAAAAGAAACCAACAGGGAUUCCCCUAGUAGCGGCGAGCGAACCGGGAAAAGCUCAAAUUUGUAAUCUGGCGUCCUUUGGGCGUCCGAGUUGUAAUCUACAGAGGCGUUUUCCGCGCCGGACCGUGUCCAAGUCUCCUGGAAUGGAGUAUCAAAGAGGGUGACAAUCCCGUGCUUGACAUGACCACCGGUGCUCUGUGAUACGUUCUCGACGAGUCGAGUUGUUUGGGAAUGCAGCUCAAAAUGGGUGGUAAAUUCCAUCUAAAGCUAAAUAUUGGCGAGAGACCGAUAGCGAACAAGUACCGUGAGGGAAAGAUGAAAAGAACUCUGGAAAGAGAGUUAAACAGUAUGUGAAAUUGUUGAAAGGGAAACGAUUGAAGUCAGUCGUGUCUGUUGGACUCAGCCGGUUCUGCCGGUGUACUUCCAACAGACGGGUCAACAUCAGUUUUGAUCGAUGGAGAAAGGCGGGAGGAAGGUGGCACCCUCGGGUGUGUUAUAGCCUCCUGUCACACACAUCGGUCGAGACUGAGGAAUGCAGCUCGCCCGCAAGGGCCGGGAUUCGUCCACGUUCGAGCUUAGGAUGUUGACAUAAUGGCUUUAAACGACCCGUCUUGAAACAC